Molecule: unclassified non-coding RNA, 337 nt
Filed under: soil metagenome
Description: partial contains 5.8S ribosomal RNA, internal transcribed spacer 2, and large subunit ribosomal RNA
Rfam family: 5.8S ribosomal RNA (bases 1-120)
Source: RNAcentral
GAUGAAGAACGUAGCGAAAUGCGAUAAGUAGUGUGAAUUGCAGAAUUCAGUGAAUCAUCGAAUAUUUGAACGCACAUUGCGCCCCUUGGUAUUCCAUGGGGCAUGCCUGUUCGAGCGUCAUUUGUACCUUCAAGCUCUGCUUGGUGUUGGGUGUUUGUCUCGCCUCUGCGUGUAGACUCGCCUCAAAACAAUUGGCAGCCGGCGUAUUGAUUUCGGAGCGCAGUACAUCUCGCGCUUUGCACUCAUAACGACGACGUCCAAAAGUACAUUUUUACACUCUUGACCUCGGAUCAGGUAGGGAUACCCGCUGAACUUAAGCAUAUCAAUAAGCGGAGGA